This 253-nucleotide unclassified non-coding RNA is filed under the name Alphaproteobacteria bacterium. Its description in RNAcentral is "contains 16S-23S intergenic spacer region". It matches the Rfam family "Bacterial small subunit ribosomal RNA", at positions 524 to 776 of the family's 1533-position model. The record is from RNAcentral. Lineage: Bacteria; Pseudomonadati; Pseudomonadota; Alphaproteobacteria.
UACGGAUGGGGCGAGCGUUGUUCGGAAUCACUGGACGUAAAGCGUACGUAGGCGGUUAGGCAAGUCAGAAGUGAAAGCCCAGGGCUCAACCUUGGAACGGCUUUUGAAACUGCAUAACUAGAGUCCCGGAGAGGUUGGCGGAAUUCCGAGUGUAGAGGUGAAAUUCGCAGAUAUUCGGAGGAACACCAGUGGCGUAAGCGGCCAACUGGACGGGAACUGACGCUGAGGUACGAAAGCGUGGGGAGCAAACAGG